GGUGUUUAUUAGAGGCACCGCCUGCCCAGUGACACAUGUUUAAACGGCCGCGGUACCCUAACCGUGCAAAGGUAGACAUAAUCACUUGUUCCUUAAAUAGGGACCUGUAUGAAUGGCUCCACGAGGGUUCAGCUGUCUCUUACUUUUAACCAGUGAAAUUGACCUGCCCGUGAAGAGGCGGGCAUGACACAGCAAGACGAGAAGACCCUAUGGAGCUUUAAUUUAUUAAUGCAAACAGUACCUAACAAACCCACAGGUCCUAAACUACCAAACCUGCAUUAAAAAUUUCGGUUGGGGCGACCUCGGAGCAGAACCCAACCUCCGAGCAGUACAUGCUAAGACUUCACCAGUCAAAGCGAACUACUAUACUCAAUUGAUCCAAUAACUUGACCAACGGAACAAGUUACCCUAGGGAUAACAGCGCAAUCCUAUUCUAGAGUCCAUAUCAACAAUAGGGUUUACGACCUCGAUGUUGGAUCAGGACAUCCCGAUGGUGCAGCCGCUAUUAAAGGUUCGUUUGUUCAACGAUUAAAGUCCUACGUGAUCUGAGUUCAGACCGGAGAGGC
RNAcentral lists this ribosomal RNA (566 nucleotides) under Diachea leucopodia. Its description in RNAcentral is "partial 16S ribosomal RNA". It matches the Rfam family "Bacterial large subunit ribosomal RNA", at positions 1838 to 2625 of the family's 2925-position model. The record is from RNAcentral. Lineage: Eukaryota; Evosea; Eumycetozoa; Stemonitida; Stemonitidae.